GGUAAAAUGGCUGAUUAAGGCGAUAAAUUGUAAAUUUAUUUAUGAGAAAAUCUUUUACUG
Molecule: transfer RNA, 60 nt
Filed under: Alectorobius rietcorreai
Lineage: Eukaryota; Metazoa; Arthropoda; Arachnida; Ixodida; Argasidae
Description: tRNA-Tyr
Source: RNAcentral